Molecule: ribosomal RNA, 468 nt
Filed under: uncultured bacterium
Lineage: Bacteria
Description: partial 16S ribosomal RNA
Rfam family: Bacterial small subunit ribosomal RNA
Source: RNAcentral
GACGAACGCUGGCGGCGUGCUUAACACAUGCAAGUCGAACGGAAAGGCCCUGCUUUUGUGGGGUGCUCGAUUGGCGAACGGGUGAGUAACACGUGAGUAACCUGCCCUUGACUUUGGGAUAACUUCAGGAAACUGGGGCUAAUACCGGAUAGGAUCUCCUGCUGCAUGGUGGGGGUUGGAAAGUUUCGGCGGUUGGGGAUGGACUCGCGGCUUAUCAGCUUGUUGGUGGGGUAGUGGCUUACCAAGGCUUUGACGGGUAGCCGGCCUGAGAGGGUGACCGGCCACAUGGGGACUGAGAUACGGACCAGAAGCCUACGGGAGGCAGCAGUGGGGAAUAUUGCACAAUGGGCGGAAGCCUGAUGCAGCAACGCCGCGUGCGGGAUGACGGCCUUCGGGUUGUAAACCGCUUUCGCCUGUGACGAAGCGUGAGUGACGGUAAUGGGUAAAGAAGCACCGGCUAACUACGUG